RNAcentral lists this ribosomal RNA (250 nucleotides) under uncultured prokaryote. RNAcentral's name for it is "partial 16S rRNA". It matches the Rfam family "Bacterial small subunit ribosomal RNA", at positions 525 to 775 of the family's 1533-position model. The record is from RNAcentral.
ACGUAGGGGGCAAGCGUUAUCCGGAAUUAUUGGGCGUAAAGAGUGCGUAGGUGGUUUUUUAAGCGUGAGGUGAAAGGCAAUAGCUUAACUAUUGUAAGCCUUGCGAACUGGAAGACUUGAGUGCAGGAGAGGAAAGUGGAAUUCCUAGUGUAGCGGUUUAAUGCGUAGAUAUUAGGAGGAACACCAGUGGCGGAGGCGACCUUCCGGACUGAAACUGACACUGAGGCACGUAAGCGUGUGGAGCAAACAG